GACGUAGGGCGCGAGCGUUGUCCGGAUUUAUUGGGCGUAAAGAGCUCGUAGGCGGCUUGUCGCGUCGUCCGUGAAAACCUGCGGCUCAACUGCAGGCUGGCGGUCGAUACGGGCAGGCUGGAGUUCGGUAGGGGAGACUGGAAUUCCUGGUGUAGCGGUGAAAUGCGCAGAUAUCAGGAGGAACACCGGUGGCGAAGGCGGGUCUCUGGACAGUUCCUGACACUGAGGCACGAAGGCCAGGGGAGCAAACGGG
This 253-nucleotide ribosomal RNA is filed under the name uncultured bacterium. Its description in RNAcentral is "partial 16S ribosomal RNA". It matches the Rfam family "Bacterial small subunit ribosomal RNA", at positions 524 to 776 of the family's 1533-position model. The record is from RNAcentral.